GGGGAGGAGAGAGGGACAGAGAGCCUGCUUGCUUUAAAGGAACCAACCGGCUCCUCUCCUCUCCCGCUUUGCUCCUUUAAAGAAGCAGGCUCUCUGUCCCUCUCUCCUCCCC
This 112-nucleotide microRNA precursor is filed under the name Podarcis lilfordi (Lilford's wall lizard). Lineage: Eukaryota; Metazoa; Chordata; Lepidosauria; Squamata; Lacertidae. The record is from RNAcentral.